CUGGCAUUUAUAUAAAGCACCAAGAACCUCUUUGGAUUCUCCAUAUCAGCAGCAGCUUGGGCAGAACGAGACACUUUAAAGGCUUCAGGAACAGACUCCAUGAGAAAGUAAGUGGCUGAUGGUCCACGAAGAUGUUGCUGCCACACCCUGGCCUGGCAACCAGCAGUGACUGCUAAAGCCUCAGUCUCCUGAUGAAGCUUAG
This 202-nucleotide long non-coding RNA is filed under the name Rattus norvegicus (Norway rat). RNAcentral's name for it is "long non-coding RNA NONRATT031701". The record is from RNAcentral. Lineage: Eukaryota; Metazoa; Chordata; Mammalia; Rodentia; Muridae.